GGCCAAGUAGUUCAGCUGGUUAGAACGCUAGCCUGUCACGCUAGAGGUCGUGGGUUCGAGCCCCAUCUUGGUCGCCA
RNAcentral lists this transfer RNA (77 nucleotides) under Clostridia bacterium. RNAcentral describes it as "tRNA-Asp". It matches the Rfam family "tRNA". Rfam says of the family: Transfer RNA (tRNA) molecules are approximately 80 nucleotides in length. Their secondary structure includes four short double-helical elements and three loops (D, anti-codon, and T loops). Further hydrogen bonds mediate the characteristic L-shaped molecular structure. tRNAs have two regions of fundamental functional importance: the anti-codon, which is responsible for specific mRNA codon recognition, and the 3' end, to which the tRNAs corresponding amino acid is attached (by aminoacyl-tRNA synthetases). tRNAs cope with the degeneracy of the genetic code in two manners: having more than one tRNA (with a specific anti-codon) for a particular amino acid; and 'wobble' base-pairing, i.e. permitting non-standard base-pairing at the 3rd anti-codon position. The record is from RNAcentral. Lineage: Bacteria; Bacillati; Bacillota; Clostridia.